GGGAGGGCGCACAGGAGCCCGGCAGUGCCGGCGCGGGGGCGGGGAGCGGGGCGGAGCCGAGCGGCGCCGGGGUCCGGCUGGCGGCGGCGCGGGGGCUCGGAGUGGACUGGGGCCGGCGGGCUCGGGGCAGCUGGUGACCUGCCAGGAUGGCGGUGCUGGGGGGCUACUGUGAGGGCAACAGCUCCAUCGCCCAGGCCUGGGUACAGCAGGGCUUCCAGCCCUGCUUCUUCUUCACACUGGUACCAGCCGUGCUGCUGAGCGUCUGCCUGCUGCUGGGUGCCCUGCAGUACGCCUGCUACGUCCGCUUCGGCCGCGCCAUGGAGCCCAAGUACAUCCCCCGCUCCCACCUCUACCGUGGCCAGGUCCUGCUGUCCCUGCUUCUGGCCCUGCAGCCCUUUGGUGGGCUGCUGUGGCAAGCAGCAGGAACGGGACGGCUCUACGGGUACAUGUUGCUGCACGCCUGCCUCUGGGCCCUCAGCUGGGGCUGUGCCAUCACCCUUCUGCAGCUGGAGCAUACACGGGUACUGGCACACGACCGGACACGGGGCCAUGGCACUGUCCUCCUUCUCUUCUGGGCACUGGCCUUUGCUGCCGAGAACCUGACCCUGGCGUGCUGGAGGAGCCCACUCUGGUGGUGGGGGCUGGAGGAUACCAACCAGAAGGUACAGUUUGGUUUCUGGCUGCUGCGCUACAUCUGCACAUUCAUGCUCUUCAUUCUGGGCAUGAAGGCCCCAGGGCUGCCCCGCAAGCCCUACAUGCUGCUGGUCAAUGAGGAGGAACGGGAUGUGGAGAACAGCCAGCCGCUCCUGCCCGAUGCCGGCAGGACCAGCUCCACCUGGAAGGAUUUCCGGAGGAAGCUGCGGCUGCUGGUGCCGUACAUGUGGCCGAGGGGCAACCACCUGCUGCAGGGGCUGGUGCUGUUCUGCAUGGCGCUUAUGGGGCUGGAGCGGGCCAUCAAUGUCUUCGUCCCUAUCUACUACAAGAACAUCGUGAACGAGUUGACAGAGGGUGUUCCAUGGCGCACCCUGGUCUGGACUGUCUGCAUCUAUGUGGGGCUGAAGUUCCUACAGGGUGGAGGUGCUGGCUCCACUGGCUUCGUGAGCAACCUACGCACCUUCCUGUGGGUGUGGGUGCAGCAGUUCACCAACCGGCAGGUGCAGGUGCAGCUCUUUGCCCACCUGCAUGGGCUGUCCCUGCGCUGGCACCUGGGCCGUCGCACCGGAGAGGUCCUGCGCAGCGUGGACCGGGGCACCAGCAGCAUCAACAGCCUGCUCAGCUACAUCGUCUUCAGCAUCAUCCCCACCAUUGCGGACAUCAUCAUUGGCAUCGUUUACUUCACCUCAGUUUUCAGCGCCUGGUUUGGCCUCAUCAUCUUUGUGUGUAUGAGCCUCUACCUGACUCUGACCAUCUUCAUCACUGAGUGGAGGACCAAAUACCGGCGGGACAUGAACACACGGGACAAUGAGGCCAAGUCCCGGGCUGUGGACUCGCUCCUCAAUUUCGAGACGGUGAAGUACUACAAUGCAGAGAGUUACGAGGUGAACCGCUUUAAUGAUGCCAUCAUCAAAUACCAGGUCUCGGAGUGGAAGGUCAGUGCCUCGCUGGGCCUCCUCAACCAGACUCAGAACCUGGUCAUCGGCCUGGGGCUGCUGGCGGGAUCCCUGCUCUGCGCCUACUUCGUCACUGAAAACAAGCUGCAGGUGGGGGACUUUGUCCUGUUUGGCACCUACAUCAUCCAGCUCUACACACCGCUCAACUGGUUCGGGACUUACUACAGGAUGAUCCAGAACUCCUUCGUGGACAUGGAGAACAUGUUCGAGCUCUUCAAUGAGGAGCAAGAGGUGAAGGAUGCUGUGAAUGCUGGUGACCUGCGCUUGGUGGCUGGGCAGAUCGAGUUUGAGAACGUGCACUUCAGCUACGUGGAUGGGAAGGAAAUCCUGCAGGACGUCUCCUUCUCCGUGAUGCCUGGGCAGACCCUGGCCCUGCCCCUGGCAGCGAGGGGUCUGGUGUCUUUACCUUUGUGUGCAGGUGGGACCUUCGGGCUCGGGGAAGAGCACCAUCAUCCGCCUGCUCUUCCGCUUCUACGACGUGCGGGGUGGCUGCAUCCGCAUCGAUGGGCAGGACAUCUCCCAGGUGAAGCAGGCAUCGCUGCGCGCUCACAUUGGGGUGGUGCCACAGGACACAGUGCUCUUCAACGACACCAUCGCCAACAACAUCCGCUACGGACGGAUCCUGGCCACCGACCAGGAGGUGCAGGAGGCCGCGCAGGCUGCUGACAUCCACGACCGCAUCCUUUCCUUCCCUGACGGGCUAAAUCAGCCCCUGGGCAGGGAUGAGCUGAGGCUGUGCCAGGGGGCUGUGUGGUCCCAGCAGCAGAGCCCUGGUCCCCAUCCCUGUCUCGGAGGGCACCAGUGCAGCACAUUCCUGCCCUUGUUGCUGCAGGAUACAACAGCCAGGUUGGGGAGAGGGGGCUGAAGCUGAGCGGAGGGGAGAAGCAGCGCGUCGCCAUUGCUCGCACUAUUCUGAAGGGUCCCCACAUCAUCCUGCUAGAUGAGGCCACAUCUGCACUUGACACGGAGACCGAGAGGAACAUCCAGGCCUCCCUGGCCAAGGUCUGCACCCACCGCACCACCGUUGUUGUUGCACAUAGGCUCUCCACUGUGGUGGGUGCAGACCAGAUCCUGGUGCUCAAGGAUGGGCGCAUUGUGGAGCGAGGCAGGCAUGAAGAGCUGCUGCAGAAGGGUGGUGUGUAUGCCAGCAUGUGGCUGCAGCAGCAGGCGGGGGAUGAGGGUCAGAGCAAGGAACACUGCACUGAGAAGCCCCCAAGCAGCAAGAAGGGGCCAUGAGCAUGGCCAGGGACUCUGCUCUGACACUGACUGGGGGCCCAUGCCCCCCUCUACCAGGGAGCCCUAUGGGGCUGUGCACCAGGACCCCAUGCACCCCAGGAGCUGCAGGGGCUGUGUUGGACACUCCACUACGUUUGUAUCUGUUUGUUUUGCUGUUGUGUAGUUUCUUAAACCAGGUCCUUCCCA
This is an RNA transcript of Columba livia (rock pigeon), 3032 nucleotides long. It is a transcript of the gene named ATP binding cassette subfamily B member 6 (LAN blood group), with no coding region annotated. The transcript has 20 exons. NCBI's taxonomy places the organism in Eukaryota, Metazoa, Chordata, Aves, Columbiformes, Columbidae. The record is from RefSeq and is a predicted model, not a curated record.